GUGCCAGCAGCCGCGGUAAUACCGGCAGCCCAAGUGAUGUCCCAUCUUAUUGGGCCUAAAGCGUCCGUAGCUGGCCGACCAAGUCUGCCGGGAAAUCCACCCGCCCAACGGGUGGGCGUCCGGUGGAAACUGGACGGCUUGGAACCGGAAGGCUCAGAGAGUACGUCCGGGGUAGGAGUGAAAUCCCGUAAUCCCGGACGGACUACCGAUGGCGAAAGCACUCUGAGAAGACGGCUUCGACAGUGAGGGACGAAAGCUCGGGUCUCAAACCGGAUUAGAAACCCUUGUAGUCC
This 293-nucleotide ribosomal RNA is filed under the name uncultured bacterium. RNAcentral's name for it is "partial 16S ribosomal RNA". It matches the Rfam family "Archaeal small subunit ribosomal RNA", at positions 455 to 747 of the family's 1478-position model. The record is from RNAcentral.